UCAGGAUGAACGCUAGCGACAGGCUUAACACAUGCAAGUCGAGGGGCAGCACGGGAGUAGCAAUACAACUGGUGGCGACCGGCGCACGGGUGAGUAACGCGUAUGCAACCUACCUAUCAGAGGGGAAUAACCCGGCGAAAGUCGGACUAAUACCGCAUAAAACAGGGGCACCGCAUGGUGAUAUUUGUUAAAGAAAUUCGCUGAUAGAUGGGCAUGCGUUCCAUUAGGUAGUUGGUGAGGUAACGGCUCACCAAGCCGACGAUGGAUAGGGGAACUGAGAGGUUGGUCCCCCACACUGGUACUGAGACACGGACCAGACUCCUACGGGAGGCAGCAGUGAGGAAUAUUGGUCAAUGGGCGAGAGCCUGAACCAGCCAAGUCGCGUGAAAGGAAGAAGGAUCUAUGGUUCGUAAACUUCUUUUGCAGGGGAAUAAAGUGCGGGACGUGUCCUGUUUUGUAUGUACCCUGAGAAUAAGGAUCGGCUAACUCCGUGCCAGCAGCAGC
RNAcentral lists this ribosomal RNA (504 nucleotides) under uncultured bacterium. RNAcentral's name for it is "bacterial SSU rRNA". It matches the Rfam family "Bacterial small subunit ribosomal RNA", at positions 24 to 518 of the family's 1533-position model. The record is from RNAcentral.